GAUGAACGCUGGCGGCGUGCCUAAUACAUGCAAGUCGAGCGAACGGACGAGAAGCUUGCUUCUCUGAUGUUAGCGGCGGACGGGUGAGUAACACGUGGAUAACCUACCUAUAAGACUGGGAUAACUUCGGGAAACCGGAGCUAAUACCGGAUAAUAUUUUGAACCGCAUGGUUCAAAAGUAAAAGACGGUCUUGCUGUCACUUAUAGAUGGAUCCGCGCUGCAUUAGCUAGUUGGUAAGGCAACGGCUUACCAAGGCAACGAUGCAUAGCCGACCUGAGAGGGUGAUCGGCCACACUGGAACUGAGACACGGUCCAGACUCCUACGGGAGGCAGCAGUAGGGAAUCUUCCGCAAUGGGCGAAAGCCUGACGGAGCAACGCCGCGUGAGUGAUGAAGGUCUUCGGAUCGUAAAACUCUGUUAUUAGGGAAGAACAUAUGUGUAAGUAACUGUGCACAUCUUGACGGUACCUAAUCAGAAAGCCACGGCUAACUACGUGCCAGCAGCCGCGGUAAUACGUAGGUGGCAAGCGUUAUCCGGAAUUAUUGGGCGUAAAGCGCGCGUAGGCGGUUUUUUAAGUCUGAUGUGAAAGCCCACGGCUCACCCGUUGGAGGGUCAUUGGAAACUGGAAAACUUGAGUGCAGAAGAGGAAAGUGGAAUUCCAUGUGUAGCGGUGAAAUGCGCAGAGAUAUGGAGGAACACCAGUGGCGAAGGCGACUUUCUGGUCUGUAACUGACGCUGAUGUGCGAAAGCGUGGGGAUCAAACAGGAUUAGAUACCCUGGUAGUCCACGCCGUAAACGAUGAGUGCUAAGUGUUAGGGGGUUUCCGCCCCUUAGUGCUGCAGCUAACGCAUUAAGCACUCCGCCUGGGGAGUACGACCGCAAGGUUGAAACUCAAAGGGAUUGACGGGGACCCGCACAAGCGGUGGAGCAUGUGGUUUAAUUCGAAGCAACGCGAAGAACCUUACCAAAUCUUGACAUCCUUUGACAACUCUAGAGAUAGAGCUUUCCCCUUCGGGGGACAAAGUGACAGGUGGUGCAUGGUUGUCGUCAGCUCGUGUCGUGAGAUGUUGGGUUAAGUCCCGCAACGAGCGCAACCCUUAAGCUUAGUUGCCAUCAUUAAGUUGGGCACUCUAAGUUGACUGCCGGUGACAAACCGGAGGAAGGUGGGGAUGACGUCAAAUCAUCAUGCCCCUUAUGAUUUGGGCUACACACGUGCUACAAUGGACAAUACAAAGGGCAGCGAAACCGUGAGGUCAAGCAAAUCCCAUAAAGUUGUUCUCAGUUCGGAUUGUAGUCUGCAACUCGACUACAUGAAGCUGGAAUCGCUAGUAGUCGUAGAUCAGCAUGCUACGGUGAAUACGUUCCCGGGUCU
This 1373-nucleotide ribosomal RNA is filed under the name uncultured bacterium. RNAcentral describes it as "bacterial SSU rRNA". It matches the Rfam family "Bacterial small subunit ribosomal RNA", at positions 28 to 1381 of the family's 1533-position model. The record is from RNAcentral.